AUGAGGAGUAAAUUCGAGAAAAGUUAUAAUGAUUUAUGUUCAAAAAAUUGAGUGUGGGCUGUUUAAAAAAAUAUUUGGACAAAUAUUUUAUUAAUGUUUUACGGUUUUUAUUCUUGUUUUUUGUUUUGUUUUUUGUGGUAGUUAUCCAAGCCAAACGACAAGAUGAAGACACCUAUGUUGUUCAGUGGGUUUGGCACACAUAAUGUGACGAAGUGGUGGAUUCUAAAAAUGACGGAUGAAAGCUACAGAGAAAAUGGCAUAUGUUGCAUUUUUUUUCGCGGUUGGCGUUUUUGUCUCAAACGUCGAAGCCAGCUGCCAUAGCGGCACAUUUGAGCAAAAUGGAGAAUGUUUACCGUGCCCCAUCGGCACAUUUAUCUACGAUGAUGACCAUCGUUUGCGAAAAUGUUAUCCUAAAUGUCAAAAUAAAACAACAACUCACUGCCAAAAACAAGAAUUCUACGGUGAACAAAUUGGGAACGAGUUCAGGGUGAUUUGCCAAGUCACCACUUAUCCUCGUGCUGUUGUAAUGUUUAAGGCACGGGUUCCCAACCUGGGGGUCGCGAAGGGCUUUCUAGGGGG
Physella acuta is the source of this 579-nucleotide long non-coding RNA. RefSeq lists it as uncharacterized. NCBI's taxonomy places the organism in Eukaryota, Metazoa, Mollusca, Gastropoda, Physidae. The record is from RefSeq and is a predicted model, not a curated record.